AAAUUGAAGAGUUUGAUCAUGGCUCAGAUUGAACGCUGGCGGCAGGCCUAACACAUGCAAGUCGAACGGUAGCACAGAGAGCUUGCUCUCGGGUGACGAGUGGCGGACGGGUGAGUAAUGUCUGGGAAACUGCCCGAUGGAGGGGGAUAACUACUGGAAACGGUAGCUAAUACCGCAUAACGUCGCAAGACCAAAGAGGGGGACCUUCGGGCCUCUUGCCAUCGGAUGUGCCCAGAUGGGAUUAGCUUGUAGGUGAGGUAACGGCUCACCUAGGCGACGAUCCCUAGCUGGUCUGAGAGGAUGACCAGCCACACUGGAACUGAGACACGGUCCAGACUCCUACGGGAGGCAGCAGUGGGGAAUAUUGCACAAUGGGCGCAAGCCUGAUGCAGCCAUGCCGCGUGUAUGAAGAAGGCCUUCGGGUUGUAAAGU
This 432-nucleotide ribosomal RNA is filed under the name Klebsiella oxytoca. Its description in RNAcentral is "bacterial SSU rRNA". It matches the Rfam family "Bacterial small subunit ribosomal RNA", at positions 1 to 431 of the family's 1533-position model. The record is from RNAcentral. Lineage: Bacteria; Pseudomonadati; Pseudomonadota; Gammaproteobacteria; Enterobacterales; Enterobacteriaceae.